CGGAGGGAUCAUUACAGAGUUCAUGCCCUUCGGGGUAGAUCUCCCACCCGUGUUAUCAUACCUUUGUUGCUUUGGCGGGCCCGCCUCGGCCACCGGCUCCGGCUGGUGAGCGCCCGCCAGAGGACCCCAAACUCUGAAAUUUAAUGUCGUCUGAGUACUAUAUAAUAGUUAAAACUUUCAACAACGGAUCUCUUGGUUCUGGCAUCGAUGAAGAACGCAGCGAAAUGCGAUAAGUAAUGUGAAUUGCAGAAUUCAGUGAAUCAUCGAAUCUUUGAACGCACAUUGCGCCCCUUGGUAUUCCGGGGGGCAUGCCUGUUCGAGCGUCAUUACAACCCUCAAGCUCUGCUUGGUAUUGGGCGUCCCCGGCAACGGGGUGCCCUAAAAUCAGUGGCGGUGCCGUCUGGCUCUAAGCGUAGUAAAUCUCUCGCUCUGGAUGCCCGGUGGAUGCUCGCCAGUAACCCCCAAUUUUUUACAGGUUGACCUCGGAUCAGGUAGGGAUACCCGCUGAAC
Molecule: ribosomal RNA, 510 nt
Filed under: Neofabraea sp. PWC-2015
Lineage: Eukaryota; Fungi; Ascomycota; Leotiomycetes; Helotiales; Dermateaceae
Description: eukaryotic LSU rRNA
Rfam family: 5.8S ribosomal RNA (bases 173-326)
Source: RNAcentral